UUUAUGGAGAGUUUGAUCCUGGCUCAGGAUGAACGCUGGCGGCGUGCCUAAUACAUGCAAGUCGAGCGAACGGACGAGAAGCUUGCUUCUCUGAUGUUAGCGGCGGACGGGUGAGUAACACGUGGAUAACCUACCUAUAAGACUGGGAUAACUUCGGGAAACCGGAGCUAAUACCGGAUAAUAUUUUGAACCGCAUGGUUCAAAAGUGAAAGACGGUCUUGCUGUCACUUAUAGAUGGAUCCGCGCUGCAUUAGCUAGUUGGUAAGGUAACGGCUUACCAAGGCAACGAUGCAUAGCCGACCUGAGAGGGUGAUCGGCCACACUGGAACUGAGACACGGUCCAGACUCCUACGGGAGGCAGCAGUAGGGAAUCUUCCGCAAUGGGCGAAAGCCUGACGGAGCAACGCCGCGUGAGUGAUGAAGGUCUUCGGAUCGUAAAACUCUGUUAUUAGGGAAGAACAUAUGUGUAAGUAACUGUGCACAUCUUGACGGUACCUAAUCAGAAAGCCACGGCUAACUACGUGCCAGCAGCCGCGGUAAUACGUAGGUGGCAAGCGUUAUCCGGAAUUAUUGGGCGUAAAGCGCGCGUAGGCGGUUUUUUAAGUCUGAUGUGAAAGCCCACGGCUCAACCGUGGAGGGUCAUUGGAAACUGGAAAACUUGAGUGCAGAAGAGGAAAGUGGAAUUCCAUGUGUAGCGGUGAAAUGCGCAGAGAUAUGGAGGAACACCAGUGGCGAAGGCGACUUUCUGGUCUGUAACUGACGCUGAUGUGCGAAAGCGUGGGGAUCAAACAGGAUUAGAUACCCUGGUAGUCCACGCCGUAAACGAUGAGUGCUAAGUGUUAGGGGGUUUCCGCCCCUUAGUGCUGCAGCUAACGCAUUAAGCACUCCGCCUGGGGAGUACGACCGCAAGGUUGAAACUCAAAGGAAUUGACGGGGACCCGCACAAGCGGUGGAGCAUGUGGUUUAAUUCGAAGCAACGCGAAGAACCUUACCAAAUCUUGACAUCCUUUGACAACUCUAGAGAUAGAGCCCUUCGGGGACAAAGUGACAGGUGGUGCAUGGUUGUCGUCAGCUCGUGUCGUGAGAUGUUGGGUUAAGUCCCGCAACGAGCGCAACCCUUAAGCUUAGUUGCCAUCAUUAAGUUGGGCACUCUAAGUUGACUGCCGGUGACAAACCGGAGGAAGGUGGGGAUGACGUCAAAUCAUCAUGCCCCUUAUGAUUUGGGCUACACACGUGCUACAAUGGACAAUACAAAGGGCAGCGAAACCGCGAGGUCAAGCAAAUCCCAUAAAGUUGUUCUCAGUUCGGAUUGUAGUCUGCAACUCGACUACAUGAAGCUGGAAUCGCUAGUAAUCGUAGAUCAGCAUGCUACGGUGAAUACGUUCCCGGGUCUUGUACACACCGCCCGUCACACCACGAGAGUUUGUAACACCCGAAGCCGGUGGAGUAACCUUUUAGGAGCUAGCCGUCGAAGGUGGGACAAAUGAUUGGGGUGAAGUCGUAACAAGGUAGCCGUAUCGGAAGGUGCGGCUGGAUCACCUCCUUU
RNAcentral lists this ribosomal RNA (1546 nucleotides) under Staphylococcus aureus. RNAcentral's name for it is "16S ribosomal RNA". It matches the Rfam family "Bacterial small subunit ribosomal RNA". Lineage: Bacteria; Bacillati; Bacillota; Bacilli; Caryophanales; Staphylococcaceae. The record is from RNAcentral.